UGCCUGUCUAACCCAAAAUUAGAAAAAUGGGAGGGAAAAUAAGGGCUAUAAAAACUGUUCUAGGAGGAAGUGGUUGGAGAGAAAAGUUGGGGAGUAAGGUUGACAUGCAUGUGUGGAGCAUUCAUUGGUUCCCAGAUUGUAGAAGAACAAAAGUCAACACAUGGCUUCCCUGGCAGAAGAGAUACGAAGUCCCAGAGACACAGAAUCUUCAUCUGAGACAGGAAGAAGAUGCAGCAAAUUCUCAGACCCAUAUCUUAAUUAAAUGGGAUUUAUUGCCAUAUUGGUGAAGAGUGAUAUAUAGGAAUGCAAUUUCAGCCAUAUCAACACCAAAAGCCAACUAUAAGCAGAACAUCACAGUAACUACAACUUAUAGAUACCUAUUGCCAUCUACAUAUAUUAAAUUAAUUCUAAACUUACAUUGAGGAUUUUAAAAGGCAGAAAAUAAAUCAAACUUUGAAGGUACUAUAAACACUAUUUUGAAUAA
Pantherophis guttatus is the source of this 484-nucleotide non-coding RNA. The record is from RefSeq and is a predicted model, not a curated record. NCBI's taxonomy places the organism in Eukaryota, Metazoa, Chordata, Lepidosauria, Squamata, Colubridae.